Molecule: ribosomal RNA, 394 nt
Filed under: uncultured bacterium
Lineage: Bacteria
Description: partial 16S ribosomal RNA
Rfam family: Bacterial small subunit ribosomal RNA
Source: RNAcentral
CCUACGGUGGGCAGCAGUGAGGAAUAUUGGUCAAUGGGCGGAAGCCUGAACCAGCCAAGUAGCGUGCAGGAUGUCGGCCCUACGGGUUGUAAACUGCUUUUAUACGGGACUAACGCGCCUUACGUGUAGGGCUUUGCAUGUACCUUAUGAAUAAGGACCGGCUAAUUCCGUGCCAGCAGCCGCGGUAAUACGGAGGGUCCGGGCGUUAUCCGGAUUUUUUGGGUUUAAGGGGAGCGUAGGCCGCAUGUCAAGCGUGCUGUGAAAUGUCCGGGCUCAACCCGUGCCUUGCAGGGCGAACUGGCGUGCUUGAGUCCGCGGAAGGCAGGCGGAAUUCGUGGUGUAGCGGUGAAAUGCUUAGAUAUGACGCAGAACCCCGAUUGCGAAGGCAGCUUGC